RNAcentral lists this ribosomal RNA (814 nucleotides) under uncultured Sphingobacteriia bacterium. Its description in RNAcentral is "bacterial SSU rRNA". It matches the Rfam family "Bacterial small subunit ribosomal RNA", at positions 70 to 884 of the family's 1533-position model. Lineage: Bacteria; Pseudomonadati; Bacteroidota; Sphingobacteriia. The record is from RNAcentral.
AUUGGAGAGCUUGCUUUCCAUGAGAGUGGCGCACGGGUGCGUAACACGUAUGUAACCUACCCUUGUCAGGGGGAUAGCCUCUCGAAAGAGAGAUUAAGCCCGCAUAACAUCAAUUAAUGGCAUCAUUGAUUGAUCAAAUAUUUAUAGGACAAGGAUGGGCAUGCGGAACAUUAGCUAGUUGGUAAGGUAACGGCUUACCAAGGCUACGAUGUUUAGGGGAUCUGAGAGGAUGACCCCCCACACUGGUACUGAGACACGGACCAGACUCCUACGGGAGGCAGCAGUAAGGAAUAUUGGUCAAUGGGCGGAAGCCUGAACCAGCCAUGCCGCGUGCAGGAAGACGGCCCUACGGGUUGUAAACUGCUUUUAUACCGGAAUAACCCUCAUUACGAGUAAUGGGCUGAAUGUACGGUAAGAAUAAGGAUCGGCUAACUCCGUGCCAGCAGCCGCGGUAAUACGGAGGAUCCAAGCGUUAUCCGGAUUUAUUGGGUUUAAAGGGUGCGUAGGUGGCUUUUUAAGUCAGGGGUGAAAGACGGUAGCUUAACUAUCGCAGUGCCUUUGAUACUGAAGAGCUUGAAUGAACUAGAGGUAGGCGGAAUGUGACAAGUAGCGGUGAAAUGCAUAGAUAUGUCACAGAACACCAAUUGCGAAGGCAGCUUACUAUGGUUUUAUUGACACUGAGGCACGAAAGCGUGGGGAUCAAACAGGAUUAGAUACCCUGGUAGUCCACGCCCUAAACGAUGAACACUCGAUGUUGGCGAUAUACGGUCAGCGUCUAAGCGAAAGCGUUAAGUGUUCCCACCUGGGGAGUACG